UAUGAAGAACGUAGCGAAAUGCGAUAAGUAAUGUGAAUUGCAGAAUUCAGUGAAUCAUCGAAUCUUUGAACGCACAUUGCGCCCGGCAGUACUCUGCCGGGCAUGCCUGUUCGAGCGUCAUUUCAACCCUCAAGCCCUGCUUGGUGUUGGGGUCCCACGGCCGCCGUGGGCCCUGAAAGGAAGUGGCGGGCUCGCUACAACUCCGAGCGUAGUAAUUCAUUAUCUCGCUUAGGGCGUUGGGCGGCGCUCCUGCCGUUAAAGAACCAUCUUUAACUCAAGGUUGACCUCGGAUCAGGUAGGAAUACCCGCUGAACUUAAGCAUAUCAAUAAGCGGAGGA
This 338-nucleotide unclassified non-coding RNA is filed under the name soil metagenome. RNAcentral describes it as "partial contains 5.8S ribosomal RNA, internal transcribed spacer 2, and large subunit ribosomal RNA". The stretch from base 2 to 120 matches the Rfam family "5.8S ribosomal RNA", at positions 36 to 154 of the family's 154-position model. The record is from RNAcentral.